UACGGGGGGGGCAAGCGUUGUUCGGAAUUACUGGGCGUAAAGGGCUCGUAGGCGGCCAACUAAGUCGGAUGUGAAAUCCCCAGGCUCAACCUGGGAACUGCAUCCGAUACUGGAUGGCUUGAAUUUGGGAGAGGGAUGCAGAAUUCCAGGUGUAGCGGUGAAAUGCGUAGAUAUCUGGAGGAAUACCGGUGGCGAAGGCGGCAUCCUGGACCAACAUUGACGCUGAGGAGCGAAAGCUAGGGGAGCAAACGGGAUUAGAAACCCUCGUAGUCC
RNAcentral lists this ribosomal RNA (273 nucleotides) under uncultured bacterium. Its description in RNAcentral is "partial 16S ribosomal RNA". It matches the Rfam family "Bacterial small subunit ribosomal RNA", at positions 524 to 796 of the family's 1533-position model. The record is from RNAcentral.